GAUGAACGCUGGCGGCGUGCCUAAUACAUGCAAGUCGAGCGAACAGACGAGGAGCUUGCUCCUCUGACGUUAGCGGCGGACGGGUGAGUAACACGUGGAUAACCUACCUAUAAGACUGGGAUAACUUCGGGAAACCGGAGCUAAUACCGGAUAAUAUAUUGAACCGCAUGGUUCAAUAGUGAAAGACGGUUUUGCUGUCACUUAUAGAUGGAUCCGCGCCGCAUUAGCUAGUUGGUAAGGUAACGGCUUACCAAGGCAACGAUGCGUAGCCGACCUGAGAGGGUGAUCGGCCACACUGGAACUGAGACACGGUCCAGACUCCUAUGGGAGGCGGCAGUAGGGAAUCUUCCGCAAUGGGCGAAAGCCUGACGGAGCAACGCCGCGUGAGUGAUGAAGGUCUUCGGAUCGUAAAACUCUGUUAUUAGGGAAGAACAAAUGUGUAAGUAACUAUGCACGUCUUGACGGUACCUAAUCAGAAAGCCACGGCUAACUACGUG
This 497-nucleotide ribosomal RNA is filed under the name uncultured bacterium. RNAcentral describes it as "partial 16S ribosomal RNA". It matches the Rfam family "Bacterial small subunit ribosomal RNA", at positions 28 to 507 of the family's 1533-position model. The record is from RNAcentral.